RNAcentral lists this long non-coding RNA (647 nucleotides) under Rhinopithecus bieti (black snub-nosed monkey). RNAcentral describes it as "lncRNA (ENSRBIG00000045897.1)". The record is from RNAcentral. Lineage: Eukaryota; Metazoa; Chordata; Mammalia; Primates; Cercopithecidae.
GCCAAUUGAAUCUAGAUCUUGAUGAUUAGUGUUCCACUCAUUCUCUUUUCCCCUACUUUGAUGAUUCUACAGGUUAAAAGAGCUGCUCUUCAUGAUGAUUCUACAAGUUAAAAGAGCGAUUCACCAGAUAGCAUUUUGAUAAAAAUGCUUUAUCACCUGGCACAGAUGGAUCAUGGCUGAGAAUCCACUGUCUUCUGGGACAUCUGGUCAUGAAGAAAUUAUGAAAAAGAAAGAAACAGAGAAAGAGAAAAGAAAAAAGGAAGAAAGAAAGAGAAAAUGUGUAAGGAAAAGUAAAAGAAAUGAGGAAUCAAUGUCGAUUUCUUGUUACCAGAAUGUUAUGAUUGAGUUAAAAGCAUGGCUUUAAAUGUUGAGAUAGAAAUUACAACUUUUAAUUAAAACUCAAAUGCUUUCUCUACUCUUUGUCAUUAGAAGGACUGACCAAGAGCUAGAAACCAUGGUGAAAGUAGGUGAGGAAUGGAGGCUCUGACAGACUAUCAUUAAGAUGAUUGAAGCUUAUAGACAAAGAGUUGAAGGUACAUCUGCCUGCCACUUAUUAAAUAGUAAUUUGGGGUAAGUUACUUAAUUCUUCUGAGACUUGAAAGCUCAUUUGUAAGAUGGAGACAAGAAUGACUUCCUUAAGGAUGAAU